GCAGUAGCCACGGUAAAACGGAGGGUGCAAGCGUUAUCCGGAUUUAUUGGGUUUAAAGGGUCCGUAGGCGGACUUAUAAGUCAGUGGUGAAAGCCUGUCGCUUAACGAUAGAACUGCCAUUGAUACUGUAAGUCUUGAGUAUAUUUGAGGUAGCUGGAAUAAGUAGUGUAGCGGUGAAAUGCAUAGAUAUUACUUAGAACACCAAUUGCGAAGGCAGGUUACCAAGAUAUAACUGACGCUGAGGGACGAAAGCGUGGGUAGCGAACAGGAUUAGAUACCCCAGUAGUCCCUGUCUCUUAUAA
Molecule: ribosomal RNA, 302 nt
Filed under: uncultured bacterium
Lineage: Bacteria
Description: partial 16S ribosomal RNA
Rfam family: Bacterial small subunit ribosomal RNA
Source: RNAcentral